Molecule: long non-coding RNA, 329 nt
Filed under: Trifolium pratense (red clover)
Lineage: Eukaryota; Viridiplantae; Streptophyta; Magnoliopsida; Fabales; Fabaceae
Description: long non-coding RNA (TPRA_LNC002749)
Source: RNAcentral
AUCAUGAACCAAAAGUGAUUUCAAAGAGUUCAAAUGCUUCUAAGUUUUCACAUAACAGAAUUUCCAAACCCAAUCUGUUAUAAAAAUCUUCAUUUUCAAAACCCCACUUUAAAUAUAUAUUCACCUAUGAGAAAAAUUAUGGAGUAAAAAGGGACAGAAUAUGCCAAUUAUUUGAGAAAAAUUAAUUUUGGAAGGAGAACAAGGCAAAGUUGCAAAGAGAAGAAGAUUGAGUGUUGUCACCGGAGAGGAAGAUGAAAAGAGACUAGAAAGAGAGAUCAUUAAAUUAAUUAAAUUAAAUAAAAGAUGCCACAUCAUUCGUGAUUUGCUUC